Molecule: ribosomal RNA, 584 nt
Filed under: uncultured Glomeromycotina
Lineage: Eukaryota; Fungi; Glomeromycota
Description: LSU rRNA
Rfam family: Eukaryotic large subunit ribosomal RNA
Source: RNAcentral
CAUGGAGGGUGAGAAUCCCGUCUUUGACACGGACUACCAGUGCUCUGUGAUGCACUCUCGAAGAGUCGAGUUGUUUGGGAAUGCAGCUCAAAUUGGGUGGUAAAUUCCAUCUAAAGCUAAAUAUUGGCGGAAGACCGAUAGCGAACAAGUACCGUGAGGGAAAGAUAAAAAGCACUUUGGAAAGAGAGUUAAACAGUACGUGAAAUUGUUGAAGGGGAAACGCUUGAAGUCAGUCGUACCGGUGGGUAAUCAGCCUUUCGUGCGUGAUUAUGUGGAGCGUGAGGAGUUAAACACCCUCAUGCCUUCAUAUUCGUGCGUUUUGGGUGUACUUGCCCGCAUGGUAGGUUAACAUCAAUUUCGGGCGCCAUAAAAUGGUUGGGGGAAUGUAGCUUCGACCUCGGUUGAAGUGUUAUAGCCUCUGGCAGAUGUGGUGACCGGGAUUGAGGAUUGCAACGGAUACCCUUCGGGGCUACCUGUCUGAUCUCUGAUCGUUACUCUGGUGCCGAAAGCUUGCUUACGGUUAUCAAAGUUGAUGGUCAAUAGGUUAGAACGGGUUAAAUUCGUUAAGGAUGUUGACGUAAUGG